UAUGAUAUGGGUCUUGUUUUUGUUGGAUG
Molecule: non-coding RNA, 29 nt
Filed under: Mus musculus (house mouse)
Lineage: Eukaryota; Metazoa; Chordata; Mammalia; Rodentia; Muridae
Source: RNAcentral